This 398-nucleotide long non-coding RNA is filed under the name Helianthus annuus (common sunflower). RNAcentral's name for it is "hypothetical non coding rna". The record is from RNAcentral. Lineage: Eukaryota; Viridiplantae; Streptophyta; Magnoliopsida; Asterales; Asteraceae.
UUCAUGCGUGUAUACAAAGGUGUAAUAGGUCAUACAACGAAGCUUGGUGAACUCGGAAGUGGAAGGACCUUCUCCAUUUGCUAUUAACCAUCACUUUUCUACACUUGAACUUCCCUAGUCUUGAACUAGUGGACGUGAUUGACCGACCUUGACUGUUAGCUAUAUUUGAGAAUCUAACCGAGCAAACCAAGGUGAGUUCACACACUUUCUAAGGCCUGGGAUUCCCGGUGGUUGGGAAUGGGUCGUUAAAUGCUUGGAGCUUGCACGAGGAAGGAGUCGUUGUGGGAUACGGACUGUUAUGUUCCGUGUUUAAUAUUUAAAUCCUUAUGAAUUUAUUAAACUUACGCUUUGGACUUUAAACUUAUGAACUAUGGACUUAUAUUUUGGGUUUUGUUGAU